UACGUAGGGUGCGAGCGUUAAUCGGAAUUACUGGGCGUAAAGCGUGCGCAGGCGGUUUUGUAAGCCAGAUGUGAAAUCCCCGGGCUUAACCUGGGAAUGGCAUUUGGGACUGCAAGGCUGGAGUGCGGCAGAGGAGACUGGAAUUCCUGGUGUAGCAGUGAAAUGCGUAGAUAUCAGGAGGAACACCGAUGGCGAAGGCAGCACUCUGGGACGUGACUGACGCUGAGACGCGAAAGCGUGGGGAGCAAACAGG
RNAcentral lists this ribosomal RNA (253 nucleotides) under uncultured bacterium. RNAcentral's name for it is "partial 16S ribosomal RNA". It matches the Rfam family "Bacterial small subunit ribosomal RNA", at positions 524 to 776 of the family's 1533-position model. The record is from RNAcentral.